AUACGUAGGGGGCGAGCGUUGUCCGGAAUGAUUGGGCGUAAAGGGCGCGUAGGCGGCGCGGUAAGUCAGAUGUGAAAUGCCGGGGCUCAACCCCGGAGCUGCAUUUGAAACUGUGGUUCUUGAGUGAGGUAGAGGUAAGCGGAAUUCCUAGUGUAGCGGUGAAAUGCUUAGAUAUGACGAAGAACUCCGAUCGCGAAGGCAGCCUGCCGGGCCGCGACUGACGCUGAAGCUCGAAGGUGCGGGUAUCGAACAGGAUUAGAUACCCUGGUAGUCCGCACAGUAAACGAUGGAUACUCGCUGUCGGCGAUAUACGGUCGGUGGCCAAGCGAAAGCGUUAAGUAUCCCACCUGGGGAGUACGCCGGCAACGGUGAAACUUAAAGGAAUUGACGGGG
RNAcentral lists this ribosomal RNA (393 nucleotides) under uncultured bacterium. Its description in RNAcentral is "partial 16S ribosomal RNA". It matches the Rfam family "Bacterial small subunit ribosomal RNA", at positions 523 to 918 of the family's 1533-position model. The record is from RNAcentral.